This is a long non-coding RNA of Cyanistes caeruleus (blue tit), 443 nucleotides long. RefSeq lists it as uncharacterized. The record is from RefSeq and is a predicted model, not a curated record. Lineage: Eukaryota; Metazoa; Chordata; Aves; Passeriformes; Paridae.
GGCUGCGGCCUGCCCGCCGCGGGGGGCCGCACGGCGGGGAUCCCACAGGGACUGCCCGAGGGCCGCACCCCUGGGCCUCUGACGGGAACCUCCCGCACCCCGCAACCCCGGGAUCUGACAGGGACCCCCCGCAUCCCGCACCCCGCGGGGAUCUGAUGCGGAUCUGCUGGUCCCGCACCCUGGGGUCUCACAGAGAUCCCCCGCAUCCCACCCUUUCGGGGGCUUCACAGGGACCUCCGGAUCCCAAAGUCCCGGGAUGUGACAAGGGGCCCCCGGGUCCUGCACUCCGGGAGUCUGACAGGGAGCCCCCAGACGCCCAAACCCUGGGGUCCGCAGCCACCCAACCCUCCAGGGCAGAAGGACUGCAGCCAUAAAUUCACCAGAAUUGCUGGCCUCUGAAGAAACCUUAAUUCUACUUUGACAGCAAAAUCGGAUUCCAAAGA